This 478-nucleotide ribosomal RNA is filed under the name uncultured bacterium. Its description in RNAcentral is "partial 16S ribosomal RNA". It matches the Rfam family "Bacterial small subunit ribosomal RNA", at positions 28 to 523 of the family's 1533-position model. The record is from RNAcentral.
GACGAACGCUGGCGGCGUGCUUAACACAUGCAAGUCGAACGGUAAGGCCCUUCGGGGUACACGAGUGGCGAACGGGUGAGUAACACGUGGGUGAUCUGCCCUGCACUUCGGGAUAAGACUGGGAAACUGGGUCUAAUACCGGAUAGGACCACUGCCUGCAUGGGUGGUGGUGGAAAGCUUUGGCGGUGUGGGAUGGGCCCGCGGCCUAUCAGCUUGUUGGUGGGGUGAUGGCCUACCAAGGCGACGACGGGUAGCCGGCCUGAGAGGGUGACCGGCCACACUGGGACUGAGAUACGGCCCAGACUCCUACGGGAGGCAGCAGUGGGGAAUAUUGCACAAUGGGCGCAAGCCUGAUGCAGCGACGCCGCGUGAGGGAUGACGGCCUUCGGGUUGUAAACCUCUUUCAGCACUGACGAAGCGCAAGUGACGGUAGGUGCAGAAGAAGGACCGGCCAACUACGUGCCAGCCGCCGCCGUAA